RNAcentral lists this ribosomal RNA (300 nucleotides) under uncultured Bifidobacterium sp. RNAcentral describes it as "bacterial SSU rRNA". The stretch from base 52 to 300 matches the Rfam family "Bacterial small subunit ribosomal RNA", at positions 547 to 795 of the family's 1533-position model. Lineage: Bacteria; Bacillati; Actinomycetota; Actinomycetes; Bifidobacteriales; Bifidobacteriaceae. The record is from RNAcentral.
GGGACGUAAGGGGCAGCAGGGGCGGUGAGACGGGGGGGGCAGGAGUGUGACGGAGUCAGUGUGCGUGAAGCCGGCGAAGGCGGGUAUGUACGGCCGGGGUGAAAGCCCAGAGCGUAACUCUGGGCCUGCCUUGGAUACGGGAUGGGUGGAGGGUCGGAGAGGCAAGGGGAAUUCCACGUGGAGCGGUGAAAUGCGUAGAGAUGUGGAGGAACACCUGUGGCGAAGGCGCCUUGCUGGCCGAUUUCUGACGCUGAGGCGCGAAAGCGUGGGGAGCAAACAGGAUUAGAUACCCGGGUAGUC